This is a non-coding RNA of Candidatus Chisholmbacteria bacterium, 76 nucleotides long. NCBI's taxonomy places the organism in Bacteria, Candidatus Chisholmiibacteriota. The record is from Rfam.
GGACCCGUGGUGUAGUCUGGCCUAACACGCCUCCCUGUCAAGGAGGAGAUCGCCGGUCCGAAUCCGGUCGGGUCCG